RNAcentral lists this ribosomal RNA (619 nucleotides) under uncultured bacterium. Its description in RNAcentral is "bacterial SSU rRNA". It matches the Rfam family "Bacterial small subunit ribosomal RNA", at positions 55 to 667 of the family's 1533-position model. The record is from RNAcentral.
AUGCAAGUCGAACGGUAACAGUGAUGCUUGCACCGCUGACGAGUGGCGAACGGGUGAGUAAUGCAUCGGAAUGUACCGUGUAAUGGGGGAUAGCUCGGCGAAAGCCGGAUUAAUACCGCAUACGCCCUGAGGGGGAAAGUGGGGGACCGUAAGGCCUCACGUUAUACGAGCAGCCGAUGUCUGAUUAGCUAGUUGGUGGGGUAAAGGCUCACCAAGGCAACGAUCAGUAGCGGGUCUGAGAGGAUGAUCCGCCACACUGGGACUGAGACACGGCCCAGACUCCUACGGGAGGCAGCAGUGGGGAAUUUUGGACAAUGGGCAGCAAGCCUGAUCCAGCCAUGCCGCGUGUCUGAAGAAGGCCUUCGGGUUGUAAAGGACUUUUGUCCGGGAGCAAAUCCCAGUGGUUAAUACCUACUGGGGCUGAGAGUACCGGAAGAAUAAGCACCGGCUAACUACGUGCCAGCAGCCGCGGUAAUACGUAGGGUGCAAGCGUUAAUCGGAAUUACUGGGCGUAAAGCGUGCGCAGGCGGUUGUGCAAGUCUGAUGUGAAAGCCCCGGGCUUAACCUGGGAACGGCAUUGGAGACUGCACGACUAGAGUGCGUCAGAGGGGGGUAGAAU